This is a long non-coding RNA of Cuculus canorus (common cuckoo), 329 nucleotides long. RefSeq lists it as uncharacterized. The record is from RefSeq and is a predicted model, not a curated record. The transcript has 3 exons. NCBI's taxonomy places the organism in Eukaryota, Metazoa, Chordata, Aves, Cuculiformes, Cuculidae.
UCCCACCCAGGCCCUCCUGACCAGCAGUGGAAGACUCUCCUUGCCUGUCAUCAUCUGCAUCGUCCUGGGAGCCCUGCUCUGCCUGCUCCUGGCCCUCCUGGUCGGGCAUGUGCGAGGCGCCAGGGCUGAGCGCAGAGGCUUCGACAGAACCUGGGAGCCCUUCUCUGAGGCCGUGUACGAGGAGAUCGGGUACAGCCCAGUGUGGGAGAAGCAGGCGGGGUUCAGCGGCUCAGGCUCCCAUUCCGAGGGGUCCCUCCCAGAGCUGCAGCCCCACCCCAGAAACAGCAAGGAGGAGGAAGAUGGCCCGGGGUCAGCACCAGGUACCGGAG